UACGGGGGGAGCAAGCGUUGUUCGGAUUUACUGGGCGUAAAGGGCGCGUAGGCGGUCAGCACAAGUCAGUUGUGAAAUCUUACGGGCUUAACUCGGAAAGGUCAACUGAUACUGUGCGACUAGAGUGCAGAAGGGGCAACUGGAAUUCUCGGUGUAGCGGUGAAAUGCGCAGAUAUCAGGAGGAACACCGGUGGCGAAGGCGGGUCUCUGGGCCGAUACUGACGCUGAGGAGCGAAAGCGUGGGGAGCAAACAGG
RNAcentral lists this ribosomal RNA (255 nucleotides) under uncultured bacterium. RNAcentral's name for it is "partial 16S ribosomal RNA". It matches the Rfam family "Bacterial small subunit ribosomal RNA", at positions 524 to 776 of the family's 1533-position model. The record is from RNAcentral.